CCCUUCGAUGUCCUGGGCCGCACGCGCGCUACACUGAUGCAUGCAACGAGUUUAUAACCUUGGCCUGAAAGGUCUGGGUAAUCUUUUGAACGUGCAUCGUGAUAGGGAUAGAUUAUUGCAAUUGUUAAUCUUGAACGAGGAAUUCCUAGUAAACGCGAGUCAUCAGCUCGCAUUGAUUACGUCCCUGCCCUUUGUACACACCGCCCGUCGCACCUACCGAUUGAAUGGUUCGGUGAAGAUCUCGGACUUCGAUAUUUAUUCUUUAUUGAGUUUAUAUUGUGGGAAGUUAUCUAAACCUCAUCAUUUAGAGGAAGGUGAAGUCGUAACA
RNAcentral lists this ribosomal RNA (328 nucleotides) under uncultured eukaryote. RNAcentral's name for it is "partial 18S ribosomal RNA". It matches the Rfam family "Eukaryotic small subunit ribosomal RNA", at positions 1470 to 1796 of the family's 1831-position model. The record is from RNAcentral.